GGGCCCGUAGCUUAGGUUGGUGGAGCAUCUGGCUCAUAACCAGACGGUCGUCGGUUCAAAUCCGGCCGGGCCCA
RNAcentral lists this transfer RNA (74 nucleotides) under Thermoplasmata archaeon. RNAcentral's name for it is "tRNA-Ile". It matches the Rfam family "tRNA". Rfam says of the family: Transfer RNA (tRNA) molecules are approximately 80 nucleotides in length. Their secondary structure includes four short double-helical elements and three loops (D, anti-codon, and T loops). Lineage: Archaea; Methanobacteriati; Thermoplasmatota; Thermoplasmata. RNAcentral also lists the same sequence under 2 other names. The record is from RNAcentral.